This 76-nucleotide transfer RNA is filed under the name Candidatus Moranbacteria bacterium CG_4_8_14_3_um_filter_34_16. RNAcentral describes it as "tRNA-Arg". It matches the Rfam family "tRNA". From Rfam's summary of the family: Transfer RNA (tRNA) molecules are approximately 80 nucleotides in length. Their secondary structure includes four short double-helical elements and three loops (D, anti-codon, and T loops). Further hydrogen bonds mediate the characteristic L-shaped molecular structure. tRNAs have two regions of fundamental functional importance: the anti-codon, which is responsible for specific mRNA codon recognition, and the 3' end, to which the tRNAs corresponding amino acid is attached (by aminoacyl-tRNA synthetases). tRNAs cope with the degeneracy of the genetic code in two manners: having more than one tRNA (with a specific anti-codon) for a particular amino acid; and 'wobble' base-pairing, i.e. permitting non-standard base-pairing at the 3rd anti-codon position. The record is from RNAcentral. Lineage: Bacteria; Candidatus Moraniibacteriota. RNAcentral also lists the same sequence under 2 other names.
GUCCUUGUGGUGAAAUUGGAUAUCACGCUUGGCUUCGGACCAAGAAUUUCAGGUUCAAGUCCUGACAAGGGCACAA